GCGAUUUUUACGGUGCUGUCAAAGUCUUGGCCGUUCGUUGUUCGUGACUCCUUCGUUUCGCUUUUCUAGUAUGAUAGGUGGGCCUCAAUUGCCCUCGGGCCCAACAUUCUGGUGUGGCCUGUGUGUGUGCUGGGUGAGAAAAGGAGGAGAAUGGGGGUGGAUCGUGGUGCGAGGUGAAAACUCAGCCACCAAUCCCCCACGUCUCGGAGCAACCAAUCCAGGCCCCGCUCCCCUUCCUCUCCACCGUGCCGCCUCCUCCCCUUCUGCCCUGCUCUCCACCACAUCUCCUCUCCUCCCCUUUACUGUCCUCUCCGGCGGCGGCGCCAAUCUGCGGGCAAAGGGAGACGGCGGGGGCGCCAAUCUGUAGGCAAAGGGAGACGGCGGCAGCGCUCGAUUCAAUCUGCGGAGGAGAGAAGAUGGAGGGAGGAGAGAAGAUGGAGGGAGAGAGAGAAGGGGAAGAGAGGAGGGAGAAAGAGAGAGUAAAGAGGAGAGAGAGGUGAGGCGGCUGGCAGAUAGGGUCACCGGAAGGAGCGCCCGCUUUUCUUUCCGGCGGUAGCGCCGACCUGCAGGCAAAGGGAGAAGAUGAGAGGGAGAGAGAGAAGGAAGGAGAGGGGGGAGAAAGAGAGAGGAAAGAGGAGAGGGAGGUGUGGUGGAGGACGGGAGAGGGUCACCAGAAGGAGUGCCUUUCGAGGUCGUGCGCCGGCCGGAGCAGCAGGAGCAAGGAUCUGGCGGCCUCUGCCUCCCCGUUGCACGCCAGCACCGCAUCUCCUUCAUAUUUUAUUUUCAGUUUUCACAUGUUGAGCUAUAGGUUGGCUUGAUCUCUUGUGUUAGGGACGUGUGAGGUUGAACGACUGAAAAUUGUUACAGAACUUUCCCUAUGGCCGGUCUGUUUCACAAUUGUCUUAUCAUAAUGCUAAAGAAGUCUCUUUUUUGCAGGAAGCCUUCCGAUCUGUGGAGAAUAUUCAUGGCUUGGUGAACAUGGUUAAGAGAACUCCAAAACCAUCUGUCAUUGUCUUAUAUUAUGCCAAACUAACUGAAAUAUCCUGAAUAUCCGAGUCACUUGUAUCAUGCGUAUGCAUCGCUGAAGCUUUUCAUCUUGCAAAAGAGCUACAAUAAAAAAUUAACUCAGAAGAGACCUUUUCAAUUUCUCCCUCGUAUCCAAGUGUGACAAUAGAGAAAUGGUUUCUAGAGCUCGCCGUGGAUCCUUUUUUGGCUGCUGUGAUUUUUUUAACAUGCUGCCAAAAUGUUCAAUGUCUCUGUUAUCACAUGGAUUUAGUCUUCCAAUGCAUUCUCGUCGAACAAUGUAGGAUGUGAGCUUCUUCGGCUUCUUCCAGCGGCCCGGCCAUGACGUCCUCAAGCCGCCGACGCUCAGAGCGACAUCAAUGGCCCUCUCCCAAGCUGCACUGCUCCUGAUCUUCAUCGCCUCACACUGUUGUGCUCCGCACAGUUCAGCCUGACCAUGAUGUUCUCAAGCCGCCGAUGGUCACAACACACGUGGCGACCCGCUCCCAAGCUGUGUUGCUUUUCCAUCAGCGCUGACAAACUUAGUUUGUUUUUGAAUGUGGGCAUCAGGUCUCCGAGUCGUUUAAAUCUGAACGCAAGACCAAGGCUACUAGCCUGAGCAUUGCGGAACAAAGCAGGAAAGCAUUUGCUGAACUUAA
Long non-coding RNA from Triticum dicoccoides, 1661 nucleotides. RefSeq lists it as uncharacterized. The transcript has 3 exons. The record is from RefSeq and is a predicted model, not a curated record. NCBI's taxonomy places the organism in Eukaryota, Viridiplantae, Streptophyta, Magnoliopsida, Poales, Poaceae.